GAUGAACGCUAGCUACAGGCUUAACACAUGCAAGUCGAGGGGAAACGGCAUCGAAAGCUUGCUUUUGAUGGGCGUCGACCGGCGCACGGGUGAGUAACGCGUAUCCAACCUGCCCAUCACUUGGGAAUAACCUUGCGAAAGUAAGACUAAUGCCCAAUGACAUCCCACGAAGGCAUCCGAAUGGGAUUAAAGAUUUAUCGGUGAUGGAUGGGGAUGCGUCUGAUUAGCUUGUUGGCGGGGUGACGGCCCACCAAGGCAACGAUCAGUAGGGGUUCUGAGAGGAAGGUCCCCCAAAUUGGAACUGAGACACGGUCCAAACUCCUACGGGAGGCAGCAGUGAGGAAUAUUGGUCAAUGGGCGAGAGCCUGAACCAGCCAAGUAGCGUGCAGGAUGACGGCCCUAUGGGUUGUAAACUGCUUUUAUAAGGGAAUAAAGUGGGUCACGUGUGACUUUUUGCAUGUACCUUAUGAAUAAGGACCGGCUAAUUCCGUG
Molecule: ribosomal RNA, 492 nt
Filed under: uncultured bacterium
Lineage: Bacteria
Description: partial 16S ribosomal RNA
Rfam family: Bacterial small subunit ribosomal RNA
Source: RNAcentral